Molecule: long non-coding RNA, 305 nt
Organism: Gopherus flavomarginatus (Mexican gopher tortoise)
Lineage: Eukaryota; Metazoa; Chordata; Testudines; Testudinidae
Exons: 3
Source: RefSeq, a predicted model, not a curated record
CUGGGGGUGGAUCUGACUCAGUCCCAAAUGCUGUGCAAGAGAAGAUCCCAUAAACUGCUACCUUCCAAGACCAACUCAGGAUAUCUGAAUACCUGGUCCUGCAAUCCUUAUGAGAAAGGUCCUUAAUUACAUGAGUAGCCCAACUGAAAUCAGUGGAACUACUUGGGCAUGAGGACUACUCCUACUUUUUUGCAUCGGAGCUGAAAGAAACUGCAGAAAAGCAUUGUGUCACCUUUGGACUUCAACUUGUCAAGAUGCAUUUAUUUCAGUGACAACUACAUGUGGUUAUUCUGAAGGAAGGCAGA